GCCCUCGGGGCUGCAUGUUGGAGAGUGGCCGACAAGGGUGGAUCCCAUCACAGGGUCUGCCCCAGCUUGUGUGAGUACACAUAUGCACGUCCCCAAAGCUUUCGUGCAUUCCCGCGUGUGCUGACACUGGACAGGUUCUCGGCUCACAGCACAAGGUUCAACCUUCUUGCACUCCACCCUCAAGCAGCCUGUGUUUCAUCGGGGUAGACAGAUAAUGAACCGUAGGCAAACAGGAAGAGUCUUUGGGAGCGGCACAAGGACAACUCUUAUUUACCUGCAAUAAUGCAUGCCUGCACCAAUUCUCAGCCCCCACACUGAGCCACCAACCUGAGAGGCUUGAAGAGCCACAAAGAGGUCAUGUGAGGAUUUCUUUCUUCACUGCCUCUUCAUCUUCCAGGCUGGUGAGCACGACCUGAACCCCCUGUUCUCAUGAGUUUGUCCUUCCCCCACCCCCACCCCCACCCCCGCCACUGCCCACUGCUGCCCUCCGGGUUAAGGUGUGCUGGGCACACACCCAGAGACCUUUGCACUGCAGUUGGGAAAGUUAUUUGUCGAGAAACUUUUUGCAUCUUUCUUUUCCUCUUGCUGCGGGCUUCUGCCUACAUAACUCUGCAAACUGCAAUGCUGGUUUCCUGUAAAAGCCAAGGGCCUGAAAUAAUGGUUCCAGUGAAGAGACUCCUACGUUCUAGAGUGGCUUUCAGACCACCCAGGAGGAACUUGCCAAGGAGCUGGCCCACCACUGCUGACUUCCUGAGCUCUGGAUGCUCCUCCGCCCCCAGAACAUACAGGAACACUCAGGUGGGGAGGAGUUCUCCAGGGAGGUGGUCCCUAGGCACCGAGCCCCCUCCCACCUCCGCACUCCGGCCCCUCCCACCUCCGCACUCCUGGUCCCUCCUCCAAUCAGAGAGGCGUAGGUGGUGCUUUUCUCUCAUCUGACAUCCGUUGGGCGGGGCUUUAAGGAGCGCUCAGAGAGCCGGGCGUGCGUGUUCUAGACACAGAGGUCUGGUGUGUGACUCGCCCUUACAAAAUCUCAAGGGUUUUGAGAGCCGGCUUGAAGUGGCUUUGGCAGCAGAAGAGGGGACAGUAGAACCGCACUUGGGUUGAUUAUGGGACAAAGGAUGCAGAGGUGUUUUCCGGAGACCACAAUGCCCUCAGCCCUCACCAAGGGAGGGAGAGGCUUUAACUUUGAAUACAGUUAAAAGUUUUGGGGUUUUUGUGUGUGUGCCUUUUAGGGCCCCACCCAGGGCAUAUGGAGGUUCCCAGGCUAGGGGUCAAAUCAGAGCUACAGCUGCUGGCCUACACCACAGCCACAGCAAUGCCAGAUCCUUAACCCACUGAGCGAGGCCAGGGAUUGAACCCACAUCCUCAUGGUUCCUAGUCUGGUUCCCACUGAGCCACGAUGGGAACUCCUUAAUUAAUUUUGAUUAUUAUAUUGAAGGAUCUUGAUAUUUAUCAAAAUAAGACCAGGAGAUCACUGAGAUCACAAGACUGUUAUCCAGGAGUGAGCAGAUAAGCCGAGAGGACUGGCCAAGAUUUCAUCCAGUGGCAGCGACGAGUCCCCCACGAACAGGUUGGAAGGAGGCUGUAGAAGGUGUGAUGGGGUCGCUUAGUCAUUUCACCUACGACCUUGGGACGGCACAGUUACAGGCCUUUCAUGUCCAAAGAGGCAGGACCUACUGUUAUUUUACAGAUGAGGAAGCCGAGGUGCCAGGAUCUUGAGAGGAUAGAUUGGAGGUUUGGGGGUGGGUGGGGCUUGUGGCAGCUCCAGGAUUUCAAUAUAAGACAGACAGCCGGGUCUCUAGGCAACGGGAAGAGAUGAGACACUUGUACUGGAGCUGCUCCCAUGAUAAGCAGGCCGUUUUCCUCCUGGAUUGAUGUCUAUGCAGAGUGGCUUGGGAGGGAGGGGGCCUGUAGCCACUGGGGGUAGAGAUAAUGA
This 1936-nucleotide long non-coding RNA is filed under the name Sus scrofa (pig). RNAcentral's name for it is "lncRNA (ENSSSCG00070000198.1)". Lineage: Eukaryota; Metazoa; Chordata; Mammalia; Artiodactyla; Suidae. The record is from RNAcentral.